GAUGAACGCUGGCGGCGUGCCUAAUACAUGCAAGUCGAGCGAACAGAUGAGGAGCUUGCUCCUCUGACGUUAGCGGCGGACGGGUGAGUAACACGUGGAUAACCGACCUAUAAGACUGGGAUAACUUCGGGAAACCGGAGCUAAUACCGGAUAAUAUAUUGAACCGCAUGGUUCAAUAGUGAAAGACGGUUUUGCUGUCACUUAUAGAUGGAUCCGCGCCGCAUUAGCUAGUUGGUAAGGUAACGGCUUACCAAGGCAACGAUGCGUAGCCGACCUGAGAGGGUGAUCGGCCACACUGGAACUGAGACACGGUCCAGACUCCUACGGGAGGCAGCAGUAGGGAAUAUUCCGCAAUGGGCGAAAGCCUGACGGAGCAACGCCGCGUGAGUGAUGAAGGUCUUCGGAUCGUAAAACUCUGUUAUUAGGGAAGAACAAAUGUGUAAGUAACUAUGCACGUCUUGACGGUACCUAAUCAGAAAGCCACGGCUAACUACGUG
Molecule: ribosomal RNA, 497 nt
Filed under: uncultured bacterium
Lineage: Bacteria
Description: partial 16S ribosomal RNA
Rfam family: Bacterial small subunit ribosomal RNA
Source: RNAcentral